Molecule: ribosomal RNA, 493 nt
Filed under: uncultured bacterium
Lineage: Bacteria
Description: partial 16S ribosomal RNA
Rfam family: Bacterial small subunit ribosomal RNA
Source: RNAcentral
ACGAACGCUGGCGGCGUGCUUAACACAUGCCAGUCGAACGGUGAAGCGCCUUCCUUUUUGGUGGGUGUGGAUGAGUGGCGAACGGGUGAGUAACACGUGAGUAACCUGCCCCCUUCUUCUGGAUAACCGCAUGAAAGUGUGGCUAAUACGGGAUAUUCUGGGUCUGUCGCAUGAUGGGUCUGGGAAAGAUAUUGUUUCGGUGGGGGAUGGGCUCGCGGCCUAUCAGCUUGUUGGUGGGGUGAUGGCCUACCAAGGCGGGGACGGGUAGCCGGCCUGAGAGGGUGGACGGUCACACUGGGACUGAGACACGGCCCAGACUCCUACGGGAGGCAGCAGUGGGGAAUAUUGCACGAUGGGCGCAAGCCUGAUGCAGCGACGCCGCGUGAGGGAUGGAGGCCUUCGGGUUGUGAACCUCUUUCGCCAGUGAAGCAGGCCUGCCUCGUUUGUGGGUGGGUUGACGGUAGCUGGAUAAGAAGCGCCGGCUAACUACGUG